RNAcentral lists this long non-coding RNA (1224 nucleotides) under Homo sapiens (human). RNAcentral's name for it is "HSALNT0399174". The record is from RNAcentral. Lineage: Eukaryota; Metazoa; Chordata; Mammalia; Primates; Hominidae.
CUCCUUAGUUCUCCUGUUUUCGGACAGGGCCUGAGGCCGAUUUCCCCUGAAUAGGAUCAAAGAAGUGAGGGGACUAGCCUAGGGCCUGGAACACCCAGAGGGUGGCUGCUGGGGGCGUGAGAACUGGGUAGGGGUGCCUCCAGGAAGUCCUCUUAUGUGUGCUUCUUUGUUCAUUUGACAAGGAUUUGCUGAGCACCUACUAUGCAUCAGACGCUGUGUUCUAGGCAAGGGGGAUACACCUGAUGGAAGAAGGUCCUUCCCUAGACGUAGCUAACAUCCCAGUGUGGGAGAUGACACGAAACAAGUAUGGUGGAAAUGAUGUCACGCCCACUCCAGGCCUAACCUCUAGGAGGACUGGCAGUUUCUGCUAUGGCCUCUGGGAGCCAUGAGCUGCCAUGAAAAAGGUCAAACUACUCUGCUGGAGACACCCACCUGGAGAAGCCCUGGGAUUCCAUGGAGAGGCAGACGGACCCAGCUGAGCUCAGUGUUCCAGCCAUCCCCACGAAAGCACCAGGAACCUGAGUGAAACCAUCUCGAUCCUCCAGCAUAGCACAAUCAGCAGCUGAAGAUCACUGAGUGACUCUAGUCGGCGCUCCAUGGAUCACUGAAGGAUCACCCAGCUGAGCCCUGCGCAAAUUUCUGACUCACAAAACUGUAGACGAUACAAUGGUUGUUGUUUGGGGGCAGUUUGUUAUGCUGUAGCAAUAAAUAGCCAGAAGAGACCAAGAGGCAGAAGUUGUUUGCUGAAAAUAAUGCAAAAAUUAUACCAGCCCUUGCCCAGCUACCUCCGGAUUUCUUGCUACAUGAAAAAAAAAAAAAAAAUCCCUAUUUGUUUAAGCCUCGUUGACACCUUGGGCUAUUGCUCAGUCCUCAGUUUUCCAUUUGUUAAAUGGAGCAUUAGCUCCUGUCUUACUACUUCCCAAAGGUGCCUGAGAGGGUAGAGUAAGAAUGAAGAAGAGAAGGCCUUUUUCAUGUAAUAUAAACAGUGCUUAUGUUCCCAAAGAUCAGCGAGUGACAUGCUCAAACAGUUAUAAUAUAUUUAAUGUGGUCAUAAUGGGAGUGAACUUGUCAUGAACCAAUUGCAAUGGAUUUUGGAAUCAGACACGUUAGGGCUUGAGGCUCUCAGCUCUGCUAGACAAACUUCUAACUUGACAAAUAGGCCAGUCAUUAAAUCUCUCCAAGCCUUAGUUCCCUCAUCAAUAAAGCACAGACGAUGUGAUUUCC